This is a non-coding RNA of Exophiala spinifera, 137 nucleotides long. Lineage: Eukaryota; Fungi; Ascomycota; Eurotiomycetes; Chaetothyriales; Herpotrichiellaceae. The record is from the annotation of a RefSeq genome assembly.
GACACUGUUUGCAAAGUGGUUUAAGGCGGCAGAUUUAAGCUUAGGAGUAUUAUGAGAAAUACCCAAAAAACUCAUAGUCUUCAACUUGAACCUCUGCUUUCCGUAAGGAAGCGUGGGUUCGAACCCCACUCCUCUCA